AGUGAACGCUGGCGGUAGGCCUAACACAUGCCAGUCGAACGGCAGCACAGUAAGAGCUUGCUCUUACGGGUGGCGAGUGGCGGACGGGUGAGGAAUACAUCGGAAUCUACUUUUUCGUGGGGGAUAACGUAGGGAAACUUACGCUAAUACCGCAUACGACCUACGGGUGAAAGCAGGGGAUCUUCGGACCUUGCGCGAUUGAAUGAGCCGAUGUCGGAUUAGCUAGUUGGCGGGGUAAAGGCCCACCAAGGCGACGAUCCGUAGCUGGUCUGAGAGGAUGAUCAGCCACACUGGAACUGAGACACGGUCCAGACUCCUACGGGAGGCAGCAGUGGGGAAUAUUGGACAAUGGGCGCAAGCCUGAUCCAGCCAUACCGCGUGGGUGAAGAAGGCCUUCGGGUUGUAAAGCCCUUUUGUUGGGAAAGAAAAGCAGCAGGUUAAUACCCCGCUGUUCUGACGGUACCCAAAGAAUAAGCACCGGCUAACUUCGUA
RNAcentral lists this ribosomal RNA (492 nucleotides) under uncultured bacterium. Its description in RNAcentral is "partial 16S ribosomal RNA". It matches the Rfam family "Bacterial small subunit ribosomal RNA", at positions 29 to 507 of the family's 1533-position model. The record is from RNAcentral.